UCGUAUAAACACGCAGCAUGUUUAUCAAUGAUAAAAGACAAGACGAAAGAACUGGAAAAUAUGGAACUUCAAGGCUCCAAUAUCUUCAGGAAUUGGUGAAUCAGUUUCAGAACACAACUGAUGACGAAACAAAGGAGAAGAUUGCUGCAAAUUUGGCAAACUUUGCCUAUGAUCCAUAUAAUUAUUCAUUCCUGCGUCAGGUUCAAAUUCAUGUUUUCUGUGAAA
This is a long non-coding RNA of Hibiscus syriacus, 225 nucleotides long. RefSeq lists it as uncharacterized. The record is from RefSeq and is a predicted model, not a curated record. The transcript has 3 exons. NCBI's taxonomy places the organism in Eukaryota, Viridiplantae, Streptophyta, Magnoliopsida, Malvales, Malvaceae.